UAGGGAAUCUUCGGCAAUGGACGAAAGUCUGACCGAGCAACGCCGCGUGAGUGAAGAAGGUUUUCGGAUCGUAAAACUCUGUUGUUAGAGAAGAACAAGGACGUUAGUAACUGAACGUCCCCUGACGGUAUCUAACCAGAAAGCCACGGCUAACUACGUGCCAGCAGCCGCGGUAAUACGUAGGUGGCAAGCGUUGUCCGGAUUUAUUGGGCGUAAAGCGAGCGCAGGCGGUUUCUUAAGUCUGAUGUGAAAGCCCCCGGCUCAACCGGGGAGGGUCGUUGGAAACUGGGAGAGUUGAGUGCAGAAGAGGAGAGUGGAAUUCCAUGUGUAGCGGUGAAAUGCGUAGAUAUAUGGAGGAACACCAGUGGCGAAGGCGGCUCUCUGGUCUGUAACUGACGCUGAGGCUCGAAAGCGUGGGGAGCAAACAGG
RNAcentral lists this ribosomal RNA (429 nucleotides) under Gemmatimonadota bacterium. Its description in RNAcentral is "Gemmatimonadetes bacterium partial 16S ribosomal RNA". It matches the Rfam family "Bacterial small subunit ribosomal RNA", at positions 355 to 776 of the family's 1533-position model. The record is from RNAcentral. Lineage: Bacteria; Pseudomonadati; Gemmatimonadota.